RNAcentral lists this ribosomal RNA (468 nucleotides) under uncultured bacterium. RNAcentral describes it as "partial 16S ribosomal RNA". It matches the Rfam family "Bacterial small subunit ribosomal RNA", at positions 28 to 507 of the family's 1533-position model. The record is from RNAcentral.
GACGAACGCUGGCGGCGUGCUUAACACAUGCAAGUCGAACGGAAAGGCCCUGCUUUUGUGGGGUGCUCGAGUGGCGAACGGGUGAGUAACACGCGAGUAACCUGCCCUUGACUUUGGGAUAACUUUAGGAAACUGGGGCUAAUACCCGAUAGGAGCUCCUGCUGCACGGUGGGGGUUGGAAAGUUUCGGCGGUUGGGGAUGGACUCGCGGCUUAUCAGCUUGUUGGUGGGGUAGUGGCUUACCAAGGCUUUGACGGGUAGCCGGCCUGAGAGGGUGACCGGCCACAUUGGGACUGAGAUACGGCCCAGACUCCUACGGGAGGCAGCAGUGGGGAAUAUUGCACAAUGGGCGGAAGCCUGAUGCAGCAACGCCGCGUGCGGGAUGACGGCCUUCGGGUUGUAAACCGCUUUCGCCUGUGACGAAGCGUGAGUGACGGUAAUGGGUAAAGAAGCACCGGCUAACUACGUG